Long non-coding RNA from Hipposideros armiger (great roundleaf bat), 1366 nucleotides. RefSeq lists it as uncharacterized. The transcript is spliced from 3 exons. NCBI's taxonomy places the organism in Eukaryota, Metazoa, Chordata, Mammalia, Chiroptera, Hipposideridae. The record is from RefSeq and is a predicted model, not a curated record.
UGAAAGUACGGAAGCUGUUAGGCUGGCUGCUAGAAGCAUAGGCUCAGUCUCCCCCACAGACGCUCCUGAGAUGUAGCUGGCUGCUGUCUGGCAACUCUGCUUGGUGCAGCCUUUGGUGACACAUAUGGGUUCAAAGAUGUCUGAUGGCUGAGCUAACUGUCCAAGUAUGAUAUUUAAAGUAACUUCUUGGGACUGCUAACAGAUUACACAGUGACAUGGAUUGCGCACAGAACGAUCCAAUUUGUCUUGAGCUGGUGAAGAAAAGGAAGGUCUGAUGAAAACUGCAUAUCUGGUUACAUUCACAUUAAUGAAACGAUGGAACAUAAAAUUUUGAAGUCAGGAAGACUGAAAGAGUAUUUUACAUCUGUCCAUCCAGAAAAUACAUACAAAGAAAAUGAAGUGUUUUGUGUGUAUGUGGAGAAGAAAGCUCAAUUUGAAAAAGCUAGGACAGUUCAAAAAUGUGCACUUGCCAUUUCAUGAAAACCUUUUCUGGAAGCAUUCUUGAAGUUUCAACAUGAGCAUUUCAUGUAGUUUUCACUGCUGCAUUUCACACAGGCAUAUUCUGGCUUUUCCAAAUAUACUGAGAGAAGUUUUUUCAAUGGUCUUAGAGUCAUCAACUUUAAUCAAAAGCCGGUCCCUGAGUCAUAGUAUUUUUAUAGGUUUUGUCAAGAAAUGGUAGCAGAAAACCAAGGGCUUCUCUACCACAGAGAAGCUCACUGACAUUCAAGAGGAAAGUUUCACUUUUUCCAAAAGAAAAAGAAAACCCAUUUUUGGAACUCUUUGAAAGAAAGAAUUUUGUCUGUGGGUUACCUGGCAGAUAUUUUUAACCACAUGAAUGACUCAAUUCAAGGCCAUGAUAUCACCAUUGCAAAUGCUUGUGAAAACAUUAUGAGCUUUCUUGGUUAAGCUGUUGAUAAGAGGCUGAUAUCUUUGCAAACUUUCAAAUGCUGAAGGAAGUGCUUUUUUUACCUUAAUGGAAUUGAGUUACAAAAUCCUGUCAAUUUAUUUGAAAAGAAUAAUCUACAAACACCUGGAAACACUUUAGAACUCUUGCAAAAGUGCUUUUUAUCUCAAUGGUAAAAAAGUUGAACCCUAGACUUGCAUUCUUUUUCUUUCUUAUAUAAACUGUAUCAAGGUGUUGAUCUAGUCAAAGAUGAAUUCAUUGAUCUUAGGACCAAAAAAACACUAUAACUGGAGUUUCACUAAAAAGCCUUGGAGAGUUUUGGUGCUCUCUCGGAGACACUUAACCUUUACUUUGUGAAGGAGCUGUGGAAGCUUUAGUUCUAUUUUCAACACUCAUACCUUUGAGGAUUGGAUUUUCAACAUUGUUUCCAUAAAAAUAUAUCAAGGUCAAUUGGAUUUCCAA